RNAcentral lists this long non-coding RNA (953 nucleotides) under Diabrotica virgifera virgifera (western corn rootworm). Its description in RNAcentral is "uncharacterized LOC126888799". The record is from RNAcentral. Lineage: Eukaryota; Metazoa; Arthropoda; Insecta; Coleoptera; Chrysomelidae.
UAUGUAAACAAAGGCAUGCCCCUAUUUCAGAAAAUAUCCAUUUAUUAUUUUAAUAAUUGCGAAUAAGCCACAAACUUGCUUAUUCCUAAUUAAAAUAGUAAAUAGAGAUAAUAACAAACGGAUUAUUUGUAAAAUUAAAUUUUUUUUUGCGUUUUUGCUAAUGUAUGCGUUUAUAAACAGGAUGGUAGACCACACACUAUAAUAGUACCAACUAAUGAAUACACAGUAUGAAUAGUACAGUCGGUUCGCUAAACUUAGUCUCAGACACAACUGGCUAGUGAUUUUAGUAAAUAAUUUUGACAAUUUGGUAAAAUUGGCAAAAAAAUAACUAAAUAGUUAGUAAUUUUGGCAAAAAUGGCCAAAAACAAAAAAAUUACCUACUAAAAUCACUAGCCAGUUGUGGCUAGGGAAACGACUAUACUAAUAAACAAUUUCUAAGCUGCUUUUUAUAAUAUUUUCUUUCCAGAAGAUCCUGCGAAGAAGGCAUGAAGUAUUGAUCAGAUUUGUUAAUAGAGCAGUAUGUUCAAAACAUUUUUUAGAAAAAGAUAUUGACAGAACUUCACUUUCAACCGUUUGAGAGACUGUGCUGUUCCAAUAGCUUAUAUCACACAGAAUCAGCUGAGAGAAGUGGUCUACAAAAAACCAGGAAGGAAAUGGAAUAUGUGGCUAUGAAAGGCAAAAGAAAGGUUUACAAAGCAAAUGUGACACAUUUUUUUAUAGGAAUAUCAGUAAAUUACAUUAAAAAAAUGUAUGAAAAGAUUUUUUGCAAUAAAAAUGUUUAUAUUUAUCAAGCAUGCAUUAUUUGGUAUGGCCACAUAUCGUCAGUGAUGUGACAAUACCUCCUAUCUGUUUUUUCAUGAGAUUUGUAAGAUAGACUAAAAACUUGUUUGGGCCACCUCCUGUUUUCAUAUAUUUUUUGACUUGUUUUGCAGUAAAUUUAACUAUCUAUUUAC